UAAACAACCUGCCUUAAGGAUGGGGAUAACAGACGGAAACGACUGCUAAUACCGAAUACGUUCUAAGCAUCGCAUGGUGCAUAGAAGAAAGGGUGGCCUCUACAAGAAAGCUAUCGCCUUAAGAGGGGUUUGCGACUGAUUAGGUAGUUGGUGAGGUAACGGCUCACCAAGCCGACGAUCAGUAGCCGGUCUGAGAGGACGAACGGCCACACUGGAACUGAGACACGGUCCAG
RNAcentral lists this ribosomal RNA (233 nucleotides) under uncultured bacterium. Its description in RNAcentral is "partial 16S ribosomal RNA". It matches the Rfam family "Bacterial small subunit ribosomal RNA", at positions 118 to 334 of the family's 1533-position model. The record is from RNAcentral.